GGGGAAUAUUGGACAAUGGGGGAAACCCUGAUCUAGCCAUGCCGCGUGAUCGAUAAAGGCCUUAGGGUUGUAAAGAUCUUUCAGUGGGGAAGAUAAUGGCUGUACCCACAGAAGAAGCCCCGGCUAACUCCGUGCCAGCAGCCGCGGUAAUACGGAGGGGGCUAGCGUUGUUCGGAAUUACUGGGCGUAAAGCGCACGUAGGCGGAACAGUAAGUCAGAGGUGAAAUCCCAGGGCUCAGCCUUGGAACUGCCUUUGAAACUCCUGUUCUUGAGGUCGAGAGAGGUGAGUGGAAUUCCGAGUGUAGAGGUGAAAUUCGUAGAUAUUCGGAGGAACACCAGUGGCGAAGGCGGCUCACUGGCUCGAUACUGACGCUGAGGUGCGAAAGCGUGGGGAGCAAAC
RNAcentral lists this ribosomal RNA (400 nucleotides) under uncultured bacterium. RNAcentral's name for it is "bacterial SSU rRNA". It matches the Rfam family "Bacterial small subunit ribosomal RNA", at positions 356 to 773 of the family's 1533-position model. The record is from RNAcentral.